UCCCAGACUCCUACGGGAGGCAGCAGUGGGGAAUCUUCCGCAAUGGGCGCAAGCCUGACGGAGCAAUGCCGCGUGAACGAAGAAGGUCUUCGGAUUGUAAAGUUCUGUCCUCAUCGAAGAGAGGGUAUAGAGUGAAAAAUGGUAUACUAGGACGGUAGAUGAGGAGGAAGCCACGGCUAACUACGUGCCAGCAGCCGCGGUAAUACGUAGGUGGCAAGCGUUGUCCGGAUUUACUGGGUGUAAAGGGCGUGUAGCCGGGCUGACAAGUCAGAUGUGAAAUCCGGGGGCUCAACCCCCGAACUGCAUUUGAAACUGUUGGUCUUGAGUAUCGGAGAGGCAGGCGGAAUUCCUAGUGUAGCGGUGAAAUGCGUAGAUAUUAGGAGGAACACCAGUGGCGGAGGCGGCCUGCUGGACGACAACUGACGGUGAGGCGCGAAAGCGUGGGGAGCAAACAGGAUUAGAUACCCGAGUAAUA
This 475-nucleotide ribosomal RNA is filed under the name uncultured bacterium. RNAcentral's name for it is "bacterial SSU rRNA". It matches the Rfam family "Bacterial small subunit ribosomal RNA", at positions 329 to 795 of the family's 1533-position model. The record is from RNAcentral.